Notolabrus celidotus (New Zealand spotty) is the source of this 269-nucleotide long non-coding RNA. RefSeq lists it as uncharacterized. Lineage: Eukaryota; Metazoa; Chordata; Actinopteri; Labriformes; Labridae. The record is from RefSeq and is a predicted model, not a curated record. The transcript has 2 exons.
UCCUUUUGUAAGAAGCACAAAUUGAACGCAGCACCCUCUGUCCAGGACCUUAAAAGGGAACUCAGAGGAGAUGGACGAUAAUCUCUCGUUCAAGGUGAGGUGAUUAAGCCCACCUGAGUUGAGUUGGCAGUGAUUGCAGAGCUCCUUCUUGAUUGGGCCAGGGACCAGGCAGCCUGCUUUAAAAGGUUGAGGUCAGUUGGGGCUCUGUUUUGUCACUGUGGGCUGUGUUUCUUGUUUUGUGGCCAGUCAAAAUAAAAAUUGAGCCAAUA